GACGAACGCUGGCGGCAUGCCUAAUACAUGCAAGUCGAGCGAACAGAUGGAGUGCUUGCACUUCUGACGUUAGCGGCGAACGGGUGAGUAACACGUAAGGAAUCUACCUAUAAGCGGGGGAUAACAUUCGGAAACGGGUGCUAAUACCGCAUAAUAUCUUCUUUCGCAUGGAAGAAGAUUGAAAGACGGCUCUGCUGUCACUUAUAGAUGACCUUGCGGUGCAUUAGUUAGUUGGUGGGGUAACGGCCUACCAAGACGAUGAUGCAUAGCCGACCUGAGAGGGUGAUCGGCCACAUUGGGACUGAGACCCGGCCCAAACUCCUACGGGAGGCAGCAGUAGGGAAUCUUCCGCAAUGGGCGAAAGCCUGACGGAGCAAUGCCGCGUGAGUGAAGAAGGCCUUCGGGUCGUAAAACUCUGUUAUAAGAGAAGAACAAAUUGUAGAGUAACUGCUACAGUCUUGACGGUAUCUUAUCAGAAAGCCACGGCUAACUACGUGCCAGCCGCCGCAGUAA
RNAcentral lists this ribosomal RNA (513 nucleotides) under uncultured bacterium. RNAcentral describes it as "partial 16S ribosomal RNA". It matches the Rfam family "Bacterial small subunit ribosomal RNA", at positions 28 to 523 of the family's 1533-position model. The record is from RNAcentral.